AAUUCUCAACUUCAUUAGUUUUUAUAACUGAUUGAAGCUUGGAUGUGGGGGUUUGCUGGCGUCUUUAGAUGUUUUCGGCUCCCCUUAAAUGCAUUAGUAGGAACCCGUUUGUUGGCGUUCAUAGUGUGAUAAUUAUCUACACUUUGGUCAGUUCAACAGGCUCUAAUGAAGUUAUACCAUAUAUCUUCAGAACACUAACGUGUUUCUGGCGUGGGUUUUGCACCUAGUGCUUUACCUGGGUAUGGGGUUUUGCAUAUUAGUAUGCUUUACCUGUUUUUCAUUAGAGUAGGAAAUCUGCUCUCUAACCGUCUGCAUUUGUGGACAAUAUUUGACA
This 334-nucleotide unclassified non-coding RNA is filed under the name uncultured Gymnopus. Its description in RNAcentral is "sequence contains ITS2". The record is from RNAcentral. Lineage: Eukaryota; Fungi; Basidiomycota; Agaricomycetes; Agaricales; Tricholomataceae.